UCCACAUCCACAUCCACAUCCAGAUCCAUAUCCAGAUCCACAUCCAGAUCCACAUCCACAUCCACAUCCAGAUCCACAUCCAGAUCCACAUCCAGAUCCACAUCCAUCAAGUGUUCGUAACGUUACUACUAAUCAUCACUCUAUAAUUUAUCAUAGGGUUAUAAAUGUCAAAGCACUUUGAAAGUUUUAGGGAUCAGAACCCAGGUACCCCAUCCCUGUUGUCCAACCCUACCUGGGUACCCACUGUUGAUUUCCAAAAUUGGGUGCUGAAUGUAAGAUAGGGAAUUGUUUCACCAGAGCCGUUCCACAAAGUGAUCUUAGCACUACGAUGAUCAUAAGUAUGGGAAUUAUGAUCACCUUAGCACUAAGAUUGUUUUGUGGAAUUGAGCCCAGGAAACCCAGCCCCUAUUAUCCAAUCCUACCUGGGUACCCACUGUUGAUGUUAGGAGCUGGGUGCUAAAUGUAAGAUAGGGCAUGACAGAAACUAUCCAUAUACAUGUAUAAACAAUCUAAUCAUGCUUAAGUGAAGCUGACUAAAGUUUUUUCAUUGCUCAAAAAUAUGUCGAAAGGAAUGAUUACAUACUGUAUGGUGAGGAGCUUUUGCAAAAUGUUAGCGAUUUAGAGUGUAACCAUGGAGUUUUAUUAUUAUUAUUAUUAUAUUUGUCACGUGAUUUACCAUGAGGCUGGGUAGUCAGAGGGGUAGCCGGGAUCUAAUCAGGAUCGAGCGGACCCAAAUAACCUAUUUUCCAACACAGUCCUUUGAGGUUUCUCUUCGUUUUGUCUUCUUUUUGCUAUCAUACUGCCAAGGUCUCAAUGGUUUCUUGAUAUUUUUGUUUUCUAUAAAAUGAGUUGAAGUUUUCAUGUAUUUUAUCCAAGUUCCAUUUCUAUUUAACGUACAAAACAUGAAAUAUAAUUACCGGUAAUACAAAAUGCCUAAAAUUGAAAAUGAUGAGGGUGAAAUUCAGCAUCUGUUGUCCGACCAGCUCCUGUCUCCUGUGUAACUUGUAUUGGCAAUAUACAGCAGAUUGUGUUCAUGGAUCUGUGGAUCACACUAACAACCCACAUGAAACAAAUCUGUCAUCAUGAAUUAUCAAGUUACAAAAACUUAUGUACAGUAUAUUUCAUUCUUUGUUAUUAAAUUAACCUUUUGUCCACCUUCAGACACCUAGUAUGGUAACUCAGAGUGUGUAGUGGGUCAAUAUUAACGUGACAAGCAUGUUCCCUUUUUUGUUUCCAUCAGUAUAUGCAUUUGAUAUGUGUCAUGUGACUACAGCUGGUUUGGUCUAGAACAAAUCAUUGAAAUGUAUAUACUUGUUUAAUCUUGAUUUAUCAAAAUACACAUCAUGAUAAUAGUCAAUUAUUAAUACGUACAUUGUCUGUGAGGGUCGAAAAGAAAAUUCUUGUCAUUGGUAUAAUCUUGUAUGAUAUAUGUAUGUUGUUUGUGUCAAAAUGAACAUUAUGAUUCUGUUUUUCAAUAUGGCAACAACGAAGAUGGUGGUUUAUAUUUGUGCAGUGAAGUUCCUCAAUCAUGAUUGUGCCAUAUGUCAUAAAAUGCUUCAAUAAUAAGUGCAACCAUGUGUCAUAAAAUGUUUUAACCAUAAUUGCUUCAGUGUGUCAUACUCUGCUUCAAUCAUGAUUGCUCCAUUGUGUAUUGAUAUGUUUCAGUCAUGAUUGCUAUGAUGUGUCUAAAUGUGCUUCAAUCAUUAUUGCUUCUAUGUGUCAAAAUGUGCUUCAAUCAUGAUUGCUUCAUUGUGUCAUAAUGCUUCAACAUGAUUGUUUCAUUGUGUCAAAACAUCCUUUAAUCAUGAUUGCUUCAAUGUAUUAUAAUGUUUCAAUCAUGAUUGCUUCAUUGUGUCAUAAUAUGCUUCUAUCAUGGUUGCUGCAUUGUAUCAUAAUAUGCUUCAAUCAUGAUUGCUUCAAUGUGUCAUAUGAUCCAAGAUACUUUUUUGUGUCAUUAAAUGUUUCAAUCCUAAUUGUUUCCAAGUAUCAUAACAUAUUCAUGUAAUAUAUAUGUUGUCUCAUGAUAUUAGCUUCUAUCACAACUUAAUAUAUGUAAACAUUGAAGAUGUACAUAAUACUUUUAAGAUCUUUUUUGCAACCCUGAGUUUUGGGUGUUGAUUGAGAGGGAGUAUGGUACUUUUUAUAUAAAAACAGCUUUUAGAUAAUUAAAUCAUGACCUCAACCUCAUUUUAAUAUUUCAGGAUUUUUUGACAAAUUUACCUUUUUUAUUGUUUGAUGUUGAUUGACAUGUAACGAUUUGUGGUCACAAAAAGUGGACCCUUGAUGUCUGUUGACCCAGAGUUUAGACAAAGAACAGUUGGGAGUAUGAGUUAAGGUUUUUGUCAUUAUCAAAAUCAUUAUCAGUAAUCAGUAAUUGUUUAUUCAUUCUUGUUUUCAUAUUGGAAUUGUAAAAAAUGUCAUGUUUGGAUAUGUCAACUGAGGGAAUAUUUUUGGAAUGCUUUGAAGUACACAAUGCCAUUUAGUGAGUGGUCAAAUGUAACACGUUAUAUUUGUGUAUUCAUAGCUGUCGGACUUGGGAGCCGUGCCAAUUUGCACUCAUCAGAGGGAUACACGAAGUCUGUGGUCUAGACUACCAGUUGUCCGACUUCCUUUUGUGAAAGUAGCGGUGGCUGAGUGAGCUAGGCGGCUGACUUGGUGUACUGCAUGGUGAUUAGGUGACUGACUCUGAGAGUGUGGGUUCAAAUCCCAGAUGGGACUCAACCCAACAAAAGUACUGGAAUCUGUACUUUACUGAGAAAGUGUAAUCCCAAAUAUAACAUAUGUUACAAGGACCUUGAAGGGUUGAUGAUUGAAAAUAAUACGUUUUAUCACCUGGCCACUUUUUCUAAAUGUCUUGUUGCUCUUAACUGUUUGACAAUGUUUGUGAGGGUGGAUUUUAAAAAAAAGCAUGAUCAAUAAAAAAUGUAAUAUUUUUACCAUAAAUUACAAGCCAUGAUUACUUAGAAAUAUUAGAUAAACAUUUAACGCUCUUGCUUCCCUGGUAAUUAUUGAGGAGGCAUGGAAAGUUAUAUAUUCUGAAAACAUUUUGGGAACAAGACAUUUUUAAAGAAGUGUAAUCAUCACAAACAUGUAUUUGGAGAUGUGUAUUGGAUGUAUUUGUAAUGGGCUGGCCAAUUAAUAUUCAGGGUGGAUGGGUAGGGGAGUGUUAGUUUGGAUUUAUAAAAUAACCUAUGAUUAUCUGAUCCCAAAAAGUUUUGAAAAAAAAGUUGACCACAAAUAAAACAAUAUGUUCCUUCAACAUGAAGAAUAUUUGACAUUAGGAUAUGCUGUGUGUUCAAUGCAAAUGAUUGUUUGGUUCCCCAUUUCACAGAAAACAUUGUAUGUUUUUAAGUUGGUUGUUAUUUUAACGCCACACUCAGCAAUAUUCCAGCUAUAUUGGGGGUAAGUCUUGAAGGGCUGACUGACAAAAUUAUCCCAUUCUCACUGAAUAUUCAAUGCUCAGUUCCAAAGCAUCACAAUUAUAUUUCUUCAGCUGAUAACUAAUAUUAUUCAUCAGGUUUCAUUAGUCCUUAUUCAAACAUUUAAAAGAAAUUUAUGUACCUUUGGAAUGCACAAAUAUGAAGGCAGCCAUGUUUUUGAAAAAUACUUUUUCUUGAAAUGUGCAUGUGUUACGGUGAAAGGGAGUUUAAGGUUUGUGGAACGAACCUACAUUAAUGGAAAUAUUGUUAUAUUUAAUAUAACAAUAUCAAUUUCUUUUGUACAUAGCAACUUAGGGGGUUGUAUCGAGAUGUCAUAUUUGCAAAAAAAGAUAAAUGUUGAAAUACCUCUUUUGAAAAUAAUCAGCUUUUCACAAUGUGCUCUUUUAUUUAGCACCUUUGAGAAACAGUUUGCAUUAUUUAAAGUUAUCAGGGGUUGAUUUGAGAACAAUUAAUAAUUUUCAAAAUCAUUAAAAAUGGUUCGCCUUAUCUUAUAAUUAUUAUUACACUUCUCCCAAGGAGUCAAAGACUACAGAUUCUUUCAUAUUACUUUAUAUGUUCACGCUGCCAUGGUAACCAUAGCAAUAUGAAAGACUCUGGUUGUCAUGAACUUUUGGAGUUGUAUCUCAUAAAAAAGACUUUGCUGAAGCCGGUUUCUACCUUGCUAACUAUAAUUUGUCAAUAUUUGUUUAAGGUGUUUUUUGAAAACAUGCCCCCUAAUAUUUCCUUUUCUUGCUAUUGUGAGCUCAUGAUUGCUAUUUUUAUAUGAAAUUCAUAUCAUAAGUGUAUGUCUACACAAUGUCUAGUGGUAGCUUCACGCUGAUGUCAAACCUGAUUGUCUUUCAGUGAUUUCACAACACUGCAGAUAGUUACACAGCUUAGUGGUGGGCAGUCGUUUCCACAAUAUUCCACUCAAUCUUUCUUGAUGUUGAACAUCAUGGCCAUUGAAUGGCCUCUUGCACAUACAGCUUUUGGUGAUUUGAAACAGUAGAACCGAUAUGUGAUAUAAUCCCUUUACAGUAUAAUAUGUUCGAUGAAAACAGUAUCAGUUUGAAUGAGAAAUAUCUUACAACACCCAAGGAACUGGAAAUCAAUUUUCAAUGACGGACUAAUAUCGCACCUCAGAAACAAUAGUUAUUUGGGGUUAAUUUCGGACAACUGAUUGACAUCACUUACCAGAUUGGUACACUAAACAAUGUAAGUUCCAUCUGAAAAUAUUUUAAACAAAUUCCAUGGACUAAAAUUGUACCUCAGAAUGAUGGUUAUUUGGGAUUAAUUUGGAAUAACCAAUUGACAUCUUUUACCAUAUGCGCACAUGAAAUAAUAUUGGCGCCAUCUGAAAAUGUUUUGAACAAAUUCUAGGGAACCAUUUGCCUUCAAACAACCAGAAGCUCUCGAGGAGGCUGGUUGCAUUGGGUGUUAAUUGUAACACGUUUCAGAGUUUUAUAUGUUGGGUUGUGGGCUUUGUAAGGACAAAUCUUGGCCUGUAGGCCUUAUAGUAUAGCAUUGAUGGGGGUUCCUGACUUCAUCACUUCGGGAUGUCUGUGGAAACGGUUGUCUCAUACAUCCAGGUUCAGUGAAAGGUGUAGAUGGUGGCAUUAAAAAUGCUAGUGGUUUCAUUGCUUACAUUUGGUGCAGAAUUUAGUUGAAUAGAAUGUGUUGCUAUUUUGAGUCGUUGUUGAAUAAAUUGCUUGACAGGA
Haliotis rubra (blacklip abalone) is the source of this 5137-nucleotide long non-coding RNA. RefSeq lists it as uncharacterized. The record is from RefSeq and is a predicted model, not a curated record. The transcript is spliced from 2 exons. Lineage: Eukaryota; Metazoa; Mollusca; Gastropoda; Lepetellida; Haliotidae.